CUGGGCCGGCGGGACUUUGACGCUGGCGGCACUUUGCCUUUCUCCCGCCCUCCCCACCCGGCUGAUACCCCGGAGGCUGGGUCCCGGGGGUCCGGCUCCCGACAGAGGGCUGCGCUGGAGGAGCCGGGCACGCCCAGGCCGGGCGGCCGGUGGGCGAGGGAUGCGGGCUGCGCUCCCACGGCGCGCGCCGGACACUUGGGGAGCGGAAACGGAUCAGCGAGAGCGGCUUCUUGCUCGGGGCACCUCCGGUGCCUGGCACUAAGCGGGCGCGCAAUAAAUAUUUGUUGAAUGAAUGAGCAGUUGACUUCUGCCUUCACCCCCUGGAGCUUGAACCCGCGCCGCGAGCGGGAGAAGCCGGACUCAGGGCAGACUGAAUCUCCCGGGGCCACCGCUUAGAGCCUGGAAAGCAGAACUUUUAUCACCGGAGAGCUGGUGCAAGGGAGGUGGGCUCCUCAGAAGUAUCAGACCGUUUGCUAGGGGAUCCUCUGCAGGGAAAUUGUUUAGAAAGCCCUAAUUUGGAAGUCCUGUAUCCCCAAACUCCGGGGACCCCCCAACCUUAAGCUGAAGAAACUUAGACCCUCAUGCCCAGACCUCCCUUUCCCAACCAGCCAGCAGCCCAGAGAGCAUUCCCGUGGAGAAAGGGCCAAGGCGCAUCCCCGUCUUUUCUCCGUCAACGACUGCCUUUUCUUGACGAAGAUCCCAAAGGGGCUGCGCAUUUGAACCGCCUUGGGCUCCAGGUGGCGCCCUCUCUGGAGCUCCCCUCUUGGAAUUCAUUUCUUCCUGGAGAGACUUGGAGAAUGAAGAUCCAGGGGUUUCUCCCUACCUUGUACCGAGAAGUAACAUUGCAAGUAGAGUAAAUGACCAGCUUAAUUACGUUCACCUUCGAAGAAGAUUCCUCUAGAGAGAAAUUAUAUCCUCCUUGCAGCCUGUGAAGGUUUUCAUGCGUUUUAGGAAUAUAAAAGAAAGGAAGACAAACAUGUAGUAAAGAUAGUAAAGACAGGUAGUUGGCCAGGCGUGGUGGCUCAUGCCUGUAAUCUCAGCACUUUGGGAGGCCGAGGCGGGUGGAUCACCUGAGGUCACGAGUUCCAGACCAGCCUGGCCAACAUGGUGAAACCCCUUCUCUACUAAAAUACAAAAGUUAGCCAGACGUGCUGGUGUGCUCAUGUAAUCCCAGCUACCCAGGAGGCUGAGGCAGGAGAAUCGCUGGAACCCGGGAGGCAGAGGCUAUAAGUGAGCCGAGAUCGCGCCACUGCACUCCAGCCUGGGCAACAGGGCAAAACUCCGUCUAAAAAAAAAAAAAAAAAAAAAAGACAGUAAAGAUAGAUAGGCAAACAAGGUAACAAGAUAGUAAAGUUUCAUUGGAGAAUUAGUGCAUUUUAACUUUGGUGGUUUUUUACCAAACGAGGUCUGAAAUUUUUUUUAAGUCCUAUUCACGGUGGGUAACUACUAGAGCUGGCUUUUUUUUUCUCCAUCAACCAAUAGGUAUUUAUUCACAAUGUUUAACAAUAAUUUAAGAAAUUCCUCUGUCACUUUAGACUUGACAUCCAGAAAGAAUUCCACCAUCUUCCCUAAAAUAAUUUAUCUUCCUCCAUUAGUAUAUCAUGAUUCUAAUUUCCCAGGUUAGGUAAUUUCUUCUUCCUUCUUCACACACAUAUUAAAUGCCUACACGUUAAGUGCCAGGCAUCACUCUAAGAAUGAGGGUGCAGCGGUGAAUACAGUAGAAUGUGUCCCUUCACAGAGCUUCUAGUCUAGACGGGGAGAGUAAGACAGUAAAGAAAUGUACACCAAACGAGAGUAAACAUUAGAGAAAAAUCCAAAGCAGGGAGGAUAGGGCGUGUAGGGUGCUGCUGUUUUUAUGGAGUGGUCUGGGAAUGCAGCUCUGCUAAGCUGAGGUUGAGGUGUAGACCUGAAGGAAGUGAAGAUUCCGGGAGAAAGUAUUCUGGAAAAGAGGAACAGCAAAGGCAAAGGACACCAAGCGUGUUUGGCAGGUUCCCAGGUCACCCAGAGAUCCUAGGUAAUGAGAGCUGAGUAACAGGUGAGAGGAAACUUGGUCUAAGAGGCAGAGGAAUGCCAGAUAGAGCAGAACCCUGGCAGGCAUAUGGACUUUAUAUAUUACUACUACAAGCGAGGUUUGGAGGGCUUUGAGCCAACCUGGAACAUAUUGAACUUGCCUGCUGUGGUAUGAAUCCAUUGUAAAGGGGCAAGGGAGGCCCACAUGGAUGGAUGUUGGGGGCUAUUUCAGUCAUUCAGGCAAGACAUGAAGGUAGUUGGGUCCAGGAGGAUAAGGAUGGAGGUGAAAAAGAUGUUGGGUUCUUGACAUACGUGAAAAUAGAGCCUGGCCAGAUGUGGUGGCUCACACCUGUAAUCCCAGCAUUUUGGGAGGCUGAGGUGGGAGGAUUGCUUAAGGUCAGGAGUUCAAAAUCAGCCUGGACAACAUAGUGAGACCCUCCUCUACUAUAUAUAUAUCCUGGGCAUGGUGGCUGUGCCUGUGGCCCUAUCUACUCAGGAGACUGAGGUGGGAGGAUUGCUUGAGCCCAGGAGGUCGAGGCUAGCAGUGAGCUAUGAUUGCAUCACAGCAUGAAAAAGAACCAAGAGGAGGGCCACAUGAACGGCAGGGGGAUCUACUACUGUGAGGCUUCAAUCUUUUUUGGAAAGUUUUCCCCCAGAAAGAGAUAUGCUUGUAUUUUUCUUUUUUUUUUUAAAGAGCCCUACCCGUAUCGUACACCCUUCAGGCCCCACACACCUUGGUUCUUGUCCCUGCAUGUGAGAUACAAGCUGGGUCAAGAAUGACUCUAAAGCCAGCUAGGUCGCACAUGCCUGUAGUCCCAGCUGCUAGGGAGGCUGAGGCAAGAGGAUUGCUUGAGCCCAGGAGUUCCAGGCUGCAGUGAGCUAUGCUGAUCAGGUGUCUGCACUAAGUUCCGCAUCAAUAUAGUGACAUCCUGGGAGCAGGCGACCACCAGGUUGCCUAAGGAGGGGUGAACUGGUCCAGGUCAGAAAUGGAGCGGGUCAAUUAUUUGGAAAGCCCUAAUUUGGAAGUCCUAUAUCCCAAAACUUCGGUACUCCUCCUUAGCUGAAGAAAUUCAGGCCCACAUAUCCAGGGGGAAAUCUACCCCAAGACCUCCCUUUUCCAACCAGCCAGCAGCCCAGAGAGCAUCCCUGUGUAGAAAGCAACUGGAUGCAUCCUUGUCUUUUCUCUGUCACUGACUGCAUUAUUGACAAAGAUCCCGUAGCCGGGACUUCACAUUUGAACUGCCUCAGGCUCCAGGUGGCACCCUCUCUUGAGCUCCCCUUCUGAUCAAUAAUGGGAUGGCACCUGUGAAUUGGCACUGCAUUUCAGCUUGGACAACAUAGCAAGACCCUGUCUCUAAACAAAUAUUAAUUCAAAACAAAAAGAGUGACUCUAAGGUUUGGGGCUUGAAUAGCAAGGGAGUAGAGUUGCCAUUGUCUUGGUCACCAUUUAUAUCUAUCUUGUCUUCACCCUUUCCUGUCCCAGUUGCUCUGUAUCAAAGUUUUCCUUUCAAUAUUUCUUUAGGACCCACUUCUUCACGCCUUCCUCAGCAACUUCUCCAUGUGGCCCCUUAGGAGCUAAAGCGCUCUGCACUGGAUUAUAUGACUUGCCUGUUGUGGACUCAGGGCUUCUCAAAGUUACAUGAAUUCUCCGUGCUUAGGGAAAUUGGAUGACCUCUGUUCUCUGACCAAAGGUAUAUUUCAAAUGUACCAUACAUCAGAAUGUUAAUGCUCUUAUCCAGUGGAACUGGGUUUCUACCAAAGCGAUUUCAACUGCCUCAUCCCACUUUUGCAUUGAAGUCUUCUUCUUCCAAAACUAGAGGUUUGAAUUUGGGUGCCAGAGAUUUCAAAUUUGACAAUGGCUUUAAGAGAGUUGGAGGAAAAUGGAAAAUUUUAAUUACAGCUUUCAGUAUGUUUAUCAUUUCCUUUUGAAAACUGAAAUCCACUCACUUUGCUAUAUCAGAUGGCUAAAUCCUAGUGUGAAUGUCCUUUUAAAUCAUAAAAGCAGAGCUUUUCAAAGUCUUUUAUUAGAAUGAGGCUUAAAAUUAGACAGUUAACCAGACAGGCAGUUGGAAUGACAGCGUGAUGCCCAGAAAUACCCUUUUUUUUUCCUCUGAUAUCUUUUCAGAAGAAACAUUAAGCAUAUUCCACAGAGAUCUUCAGACUCCAAAACCCACACAAAUACAAACACACUUAAGCACGCACAGACACUCACAGGCUCUGCUUGAAGGAGCCAUGGAGAAAGAAAUGAGGGUAAGUGGCUUUGAGGGUUAGUUUGACAUGAGUAUUGUGACUAACCCUUACAAUGCCUUAGAGAAUAAAUGGACAGGAUGUGAAGAGAACUGGCAAGAGCCUCACCUCCCUGUUGAUUACCAGGCUUGUUUUUGCCAAAUCAGGCUGGUCUGAUGGCUUCUCUAUGAGAUGCUGUGGAGUCGUUUAAAGUGUCUUUUUUCUCUCUCUCUCUAGAUAAAAGAAGAUUAUUCUGUGAUCCUAUACGAGUCAGUGGCUAAUGGAACUACCAAAAAAAUGAUAACAAUGCAAAUAAUGUAAUUGGUUCUAAGCAGUGCUUUGCAGGCUCCUAAGGAUGGUUCUAAGUAAGCCAGGAGUAGGUGAUACAUUGUAAUUCUGGGACCCAUGAGCUUAGCAGGACAAAGGAAACCAUGAAUCACCCUAGUCCCAGAAGUACCUUUUCAUAGGCCCCAGGGAUUCCAACAUCAUUAUUCACUCUCCACUCUGCAAGUGACUUAGGUCGUGAGCAUCUCUGAGUCUGCACAGGCUCUGCCAUGUGGCUGUGGGGGUCCGGCUUCUCUGAUGGAUGGGAAGAUAAUGCUCGGGGCUCCAAUGCUAUUAUCUCCUCAUCUCUGUCACAAGGAGAUUUAUACUUAUGAUUUACCCUUUUCAUGAACAUGGGAAAAUUCUUUUUUCUAGUGUUGUUUCUGGAAUGUUCUUUGCUGUGUCUAAAUGAGCUGAUUCCACUGUUGGGAGAGGUGGAUGAUGUGAGCAGUAAGAAGGCAUUAGUUUCUUGAAAACUAGAUCCAUAUUUAGGUGAGAUGAAAUCAAACUACCUGAUUUUAAAAAAAACAAACUAUGUUUAUUUACCGUAUGUCUUGAUUCCUAUAUACAUUGAAAAAUUAUAUUCAUAAAACUGUUUAAAAUAAGAGAUGAUGGGCUGGACGCAGUGGCUCAUGCCUGUAAUCUCAGCACUUUGGGAGGCCAAGGCGGGCAGAUCACUUGGGCCCAGGAGUUCGAGACCAGGCUGGGCAACACGGCAAAACCCUGUUUCUACAAAAAAUGCAAAAAUUACCAGGGUGUGGUGGUGUGUGUCUGUAGUAUCAGCUACUCAGGAAGCUGAGGUAGGAGGAUUCCUUGAGCCCAGGAGGUGGAGGUUACAGUGAGCUGAUGUGGCACCAUUGCAUUCCAGCCUAGGUGACAGGGGGACCCUGUUCCCCCUGCCAAAAAAAAAAAAAAAAAAAAAAAAGAACAAAAAGAGAGAUGAUGAAAACUUAGAAGAAAUGUGGAAAAUGUAUAAUGUAGGCAUAAAUGAAAAUAAUUAGAUUGUCUAUGCCGCAAAAUGAUUGUAGCUAUAGAAAGUCAUAGAUUUACAGGGAAAAUGACCAUAGAAGAACAUGAAUAAAUGACAAAUUUUAUUCAACCUUCUUCAAAACAAAAUAAAGAAAAAUACUUGAUUGCUGAAGUCUCUGGGCUAUGUAGCAAGAGUAGGAAGUUAUUUGCCUAAAUCUGAUCAUUUUUUGUGACAAGAGUGAAGUUUCACUCUUCAGUUCCUUGGGCACACGGACACUAUGACUAUCUUGUUUAGACGACUGUCAUAUUCAGCAGAUUUUUCUUCCUGUUUGUGGUCAGUUAAGAAAACAAGCAUUUAAUCCAGAACUUGUAUUUAAUACCAGAACGAUUUUAUUUUUUCACAGCCACCAACUGUAAAGUAACAAUAAUAACUGCGUAUGAAGUAAUGAGUACUGGCUCCAAAUCACCUUGUUUAAUCCCCAUACAACCUAAUGAGGUAAAUAUAACUCUCCGGUCAUUCCCACCUCACAAAUGUGGCUUAGGAGGUGUCCAGAAAUUACCUACAUAAUUAAUUAGUGGCAAAAUAAAAUCCAGACCCAGACAGCCUGACUCCAGGGUCCAUGCUCUAAAGCAGAGGUCUGCAAGCUUUUGCUAUAAAGGCCCCACUAUGGAUAGUUCCCAGGCUUUGCAGGCCAUAUGGCCUUGUUGCAACCACUCAACUCUGCAGUUGUAGCAGGGAAGCCUCUAUGAGCAAUACAUACAAUGAAUUGAGUGUGGUUGUGUCCCAGUAAAACUUCAUUAGUUGUGUUAGAUCAAGUUUAGACUAAACCUGCCUCCUUACAUAUUUUAAGUUCAGCCUAAAGGUUUCUCUGUACAUAGCGAACUAUAAUCUCAAUGGAAGUGUAAACAGACCAAAACCUAUUCUUGUGCCAAUCACUGAGUUUUGGCCAAUCAGAGGAGGCAAACUGUUAAAACUGUCUUCAAAUAAGGUAAACGCCCAGCUGCUGAGCUGUAACCAAUCCGCCUGUUUCUGUACCCCAUUUCCGUUUUCUGUACCUCAUUUCUGUUUUCUGUACAUCACUUUCCUUCUUCUGUUAUAAAUCGUCUUCCACCACGUGGCUGCACUGGAGUUGCUGAGCCUACCCCGGCUCAGGAGGCUGCCUGAUUCUCAAGUCGUUCUUUGCUCAAUUAAAGUAUGUUAAAUUUAAUUUGGCUAUGGUCUUUCUUUUAACAGUAGAUUUGAAAUUUGAAUUUCAUGUAUUUUUAUGCAUAUGAAAUAUUAUUCUGGCCAGGUGCAGU
This 6828-nucleotide long non-coding RNA is filed under the name Homo sapiens (human). Its description in RNAcentral is "non-protein coding lnc-NEFL-1:2". Lineage: Eukaryota; Metazoa; Chordata; Mammalia; Primates; Hominidae. The record is from RNAcentral.